Non-coding RNA from Podarcis lilfordi (Lilford's wall lizard), 73 nucleotides. The record is from the annotation of a GenBank genome assembly. NCBI's taxonomy places the organism in Eukaryota, Metazoa, Chordata, Lepidosauria, Squamata, Lacertidae.
UACAUAGCUAAGCUGGUAGAGCAUGACACUCUUAAUAUUGGGGUCAUGAGUUCAAACCCCACACUGGGCAAAA